Molecule: long non-coding RNA, 151 nt
Organism: Brassica oleracea var. oleracea
Lineage: Eukaryota; Viridiplantae; Streptophyta; Magnoliopsida; Brassicales; Brassicaceae
Exons: 2
Source: RefSeq, a predicted model, not a curated record
GGCUCGUGCUAGAGAAGAAGUCAAGCAAGUUUUUGGUGAUAAAGAACCCAAUGCAGAAGGCCUGAACCAGCUCAAAGUUAUGACGAUGAUAUUACAAGAGGUCCUUAGGCUAUAUCCUCCAGUAAUCAAUAUGGCUCGAGCCAUUCACAAA